Molecule: non-coding RNA, 31 nt
Filed under: Mus musculus (house mouse)
Lineage: Eukaryota; Metazoa; Chordata; Mammalia; Rodentia; Muridae
Source: RNAcentral
UAAAAUCCAAUGAUGCCCUCUUCUGGUGUGU